Long non-coding RNA from Oncorhynchus tshawytscha (Chinook salmon), 1054 nucleotides. NCBI's taxonomy places the organism in Eukaryota, Metazoa, Chordata, Actinopteri, Salmoniformes, Salmonidae. The record is from Ensembl.
AGCAGCAGCAGAGUCAACAGAGGACAAGAAGCCAGAGUAGAGUAACAGUAGCAGCAGCAGAGUCAACAGAGGACAAGAAGCCAGAGUAUAGUAACAGUAGCAGCAGCAGAGUCAACAGAGGACAAGAAGCCAGAGUAGAGUAACAGUAGCAGUAGCAGAGUCAACAGAGGACAAGAAGCCAGUAACAGUAGAGUAACAGUAACAGCAGCAGAGUCAACAGAGGACAAGAAGCCAGAGUAUAACAGCAGCAGCAGAGUCAACAGAGGACAAGAAGCCAGAGUAGAGUAACAGUAGCAGCAGCAGAGUCAACAGAGGACAAGAAGCCAGAGUAGAGUAACAGUAGUAACAGCAGCAGAGUCAACAGAGGACAAGAAGCCAGCAUAGAGUAACAGUAGCAGCAGCAGAGUCAACAGAGGACAAGAAGCCAGAGUAGAGUAACAGUAGCAGCAGCAGAGUCAACAGAGGACAAGAAGCCAGAGUAGAGUAACAGUAGCAGCAGCAGAGUCAACAGAGGACAAGAAGCCAGCAUAGAGUAACAGUAGCAGAGUCAACAGAGGACAAGAAGCCAGAGUAGAGUAACAGUAGCAGCAGCAGCAGAAGGAUGUGAGAUCAGACCCGGUCAGUUUAAUAGACCAACAGAAUAAGAUGGUGGUGAAUGAUACUAGUCUCUAAUUGGACACUCAGGUUUCCUUCCUGAACUGGCCUACUGUUCUUGUGUACUUAUCUGUUUACUAUCUGUAGAUUGUAUUGCUUGUCUUUUUCUAUGGAAUUUUGCCAAUUCCAGAUUUUUAAUAACAUAUUAAGUAUUGAUUUGUCUUAAUGACACAAAAAUUAAUUAUAUUGACAAGAGUUUUAAAUAUUUGUAUCUCUGGAGUUCCUGAUGUGUUAAAAUAUGUUUUACUUUGUAUUGCUGUCAGUCAUUACUGGUCAUUUUAUAUUUUAUAUUAUGUAAUACCAUAUUGUUCAGUGUUAUGAUAUUGCUUGUUUUAUUUUCAAAUUAUUAAUGAUUCAUUAGUACAUUUAUUUGAGAUACAUUGAAUACAGUAUAAGCAUC